This 346-nucleotide unclassified non-coding RNA is filed under the name soil metagenome. RNAcentral describes it as "partial contains 5.8S ribosomal RNA, internal transcribed spacer 2, and large subunit ribosomal RNA". The stretch from base 1 to 120 matches the Rfam family "5.8S ribosomal RNA", at positions 35 to 154 of the family's 154-position model. The record is from RNAcentral.
GAUGAAGAACGCAGCAAAAUGCGAUAAGUAAUGUGAAUUGCAGAAUUCAGUGAAUCAUCGAAUCUUUGAACGCACAUUGCGCCCGCCAGUAUUCUGGCGGGCAUGCCUGUUCGUGCGUCAUUUCAACCCUCAAGCCCUCGGGUUUGGUGUUGGGGAUCGGCGAGCCUUUCUGGCAAGCCGGCCCCGAAAUCUAGUGGCGGUCUCGCUGCAGCCUCCAUUGCGUAGUAGUAAAACCCUCGCAACUGGAACGCGGCGCGGCCAAGCCGUUAAACCCCCAACUUCUGAAUGUUGACCUCGGAUCAGGUAGGAAUACCCGCUGAACUUAAGCAUAUCAAUAAGCGGAGGA